AGCCGGGCCCCAUGCAUCGGUCCCCGUCGAACCUGGUCAGGUCGGAAGAAGCAGCCAUAAGACGAAGGGUCGAGUGCCGUGGCAAGCCCGGCCCCC
This 96-nucleotide signal recognition particle RNA is filed under the name Bacillota bacterium. Its description in RNAcentral is "signal recognition particle sRNA small type". It matches the Rfam family "Bacterial small signal recognition particle RNA". From Rfam's summary of the family: The signal recognition particle (SRP) is a universally conserved ribonucleoprotein involved in the co-translational targeting of proteins to membranes. Lineage: Bacteria; Bacillati; Bacillota. The record is from RNAcentral.